This 344-nucleotide ribosomal RNA is filed under the name uncultured fungus. Its description in RNAcentral is "SSU rRNA". It matches the Rfam family "Eukaryotic small subunit ribosomal RNA", at positions 292 to 636 of the family's 1831-position model. Lineage: Eukaryota; Fungi. The record is from RNAcentral.
GCUUCAUUCAAAUAUCUGCCCUAUCAACUUUCGAUGGUAGGAUAGUGGCCUACCAUGGUUUUAACGGGUAACGGGGAAUAAGGGUUCGAUUCCGGAGAGGGAGCCUGAGAAACGGCUACCACAUCCAAGGAAGGCAGCAGGCGCGCAAAUUACCCAAUCCCGACCGGGGAGGUAGUGACAAUAAAUAACAAUAUAGGGCUCUAUUGGGUCUUAUAAUUGGAAUGAGUACAAUUUAAACCCCUUAACGAGGAACAAUUGGAGGGCAAGUCUGGUGCCAGCAGCCGCGGUAAUUCCAGCUCCAAUAGCGUAUAUUAAAGUUGUUGCAGUUAAAAAGCUCGUAGUUG